Molecule: ribosomal RNA, 466 nt
Filed under: uncultured bacterium
Lineage: Bacteria
Description: partial 16S ribosomal RNA
Rfam family: Bacterial small subunit ribosomal RNA
Source: RNAcentral
GACGAACGCUGGCGGCGUGCUUAACACAUGCCAGUCGUGCGGUAAGGCCCUUUCGGGGGUACACGAGCGGCGAACGGGUGAGUAACACGUGAGCAACCUGCCCUUCACUUUGGGAUAACUGCCGGAAACGGUGGCUAAUACCGGAUAUGACUUCCUCACGCAUGAGGGGUGGUGGAAAGCCUUCGGGUGGUGGGGGAUGGGCUCGCGGUCUAUCAGCUUGUUGGUGGGGUGAUGGCCUACCAAGGCUUCGACGGGUAGCCGGCCUGAGAGGGUGACCGGCCACACUGGGACUGAGACACGGCCCAGACUCCUACGGGAGGCAGCAGUGGGGAAUAUUGGACAAUGGGCGAAAGCCUGAUCCAGCAACGCCGCGUGAGGGAUGACGGCCUUCGGGCUGUAAACCUCUUUCGCCUGCGACGAAGCGAGAGUGACGGUAGCAGGUAAAGAAGCACCGGCCAACUACGUG